This 447-nucleotide ribosomal RNA is filed under the name uncultured bacterium. RNAcentral's name for it is "bacterial SSU rRNA". It matches the Rfam family "Bacterial small subunit ribosomal RNA", at positions 354 to 796 of the family's 1533-position model. The record is from RNAcentral.
GUCGAGAAUCUUCCGCAAUGGGCGAAAGCCUGACGGAGCGACACCGCGUGCAGGAUGAAGGCCUUCGGGUUGUAAACUGCUGUCACGCUUUAGGAAUGACGUGGCGUAAAUAGCGCCACGGGUGACCAGGGCGAAAGGAAGCACCGGCUAACUCUGUGCCAGCAGCCGCGGUAAGACAGAGGGUGCAAACGUUGUUCGGAAUUACUGGGCAUAAAGCGCACGUAGGUGGUCUGCUAAGUCGAGUGUGAAAUCCCCCGGCUCAACCGGGGAAUUGCGCUCGAUACUGGCAGGCUCGAGGUUGGUAGGGGUGAGCGGAACUCCAGGUGGAGCGGUGAAAUGCGUAGAUAUCUGGAGGAACACCGGUGGCGAAAGCGGCUCACUGGACCGAAUCUGACACUGAGGUGCGAAAGCUAGGGUAGCAAACGGGAUUAGAUACCCUAGUAGUCC